GCCGGGAUGGCGGAAUUGGUAGACGCAAGGGACUUAAAAUCCCUCGCCCUUUGGGGAAUGUGGGUUCGACUCCCACUCCCGGUA
RNAcentral lists this transfer RNA (84 nucleotides) under Myxococcota bacterium. RNAcentral describes it as "tRNA-Leu". It matches the Rfam family "tRNA". From Rfam's summary of the family: Transfer RNA (tRNA) molecules are approximately 80 nucleotides in length. Lineage: Bacteria; Pseudomonadati; Myxococcota. The record is from RNAcentral.